Molecule: ribosomal RNA, 855 nt
Filed under: Bacillus subtilis
Lineage: Bacteria; Bacillati; Bacillota; Bacilli; Caryophanales; Bacillaceae
Description: bacterial SSU rRNA
Rfam family: Bacterial small subunit ribosomal RNA
Source: RNAcentral
CGGAAAAUUGGGCGGGCGUGCCUAAUACAUGCAAGUCGAGCGGACAGAUGGGAGCUUGCUCCCUGAUGUUAGUGGCGGACGGGUGAGUAACACGUGGGUAACCUGCCUGUAAGACUGGGAUAACUCCGGGAAACCGGGGCUAAUACCGGAUGGUUGUUUGAACCGCAUGGUUCAGACAUAAAAGGUGGCUUCGGCUACCACUUACAGAUGGACCCGCGGCGCAUUAGCUAGUUGGUGAGGUAACGGCUCACCAAGGCGACGAUGCGUAGCCGACCUGAGAGGGUGAUCGGCCACACUGGGACUGAGACACGGCCCAGACUCCUACGGGAGGCAGCAGUAGGGAAUCUUCCGCAAUGGACGAAAGUCUGACGGAGCAACGCCGCGUGAGUGAUGAAGGUUUUCGGAUCGUAAAGCUCUGUUGUUAGGGAAGAACAAGUGCCGUUCAAAUAGGGCGGCACCUUGACGGUACCUAACCAGAAAGCCACGGCUAACUACGUGCCAGCAGCCGCGGUAAUACGUAGGUGGCAAGCGUUGUCCGGAAUUAUUGGGCGUAAAGGGCUCGCAGGCGGUUUCUUAAGUCUGAUGUGAAAGCCCCCGGCUCAACCGGGGAGGGUCAUUGGAAACUGGGGAACUUGAGUGCAGAAGAGGAGAGUGGAAUUCCACGUGUAGCGGUGAAAUGCGUAGAGAUGUGGAGGAACACCAGUGGCGAAGGCGACUCUCUGGUCUGUAACUGACGCUGAGGAGCGAAAGCGUGGGGAGCGAACAGGAUUAGAUACCCUGGUAGUCCACGCCGUAAACGAUGAGUGCUAAGUGUUAGGGGGGUUUCCGCCCCUUUAGUGCUGCAGCUAACGCAUU